This 226-nucleotide ribosomal RNA is filed under the name uncultured bacterium. RNAcentral describes it as "partial 16S ribosomal RNA". It matches the Rfam family "Bacterial small subunit ribosomal RNA", at positions 538 to 763 of the family's 1533-position model. The record is from RNAcentral.
GCGUUGUUCGGAUUUACUGGGCGUAAAGGGCGCGUAGGCGGCUCUACAAGUCACUUGUGACAUCUCCGGGCUUAACUCGGAACGGUCAAGUGAUACUGUCGAGCUAGAGUACAGAAGGGGCAACUGGAAUUCUCGGUGUAGCGGUGAAAUGCGUAGAUAUCGGGAGGAACACCUGCGGCGAAGGCGAGUUGCUGGGCAGAUACUGACGCUGAGGCGCGAAAGCUAG